ACGAACGCUGGCGGCAUGCCUAACACAUGCAAGUCGAGCGCCUGUAGCAAUACAGGAGCGGCGCACGGGUGAGUAACGCGUGGGAACCUGCCCUUAGGUUCGGAACAACCGCGGGAAACUGCGGCUGAUACCGGAUGAUGUCUUCGGACCAAAGAUUUAUCGCCAUAUGGAGGGGUCUGCGUCGGAUUAGCUUGUUGGUGGGGUAACGGCCUACCAAGGCGACGAUCCGUAGCUGGUCUGAGAGGAUGAUCAGCCACACUGGGACUGAGACACGGCCCAGACUCCUACGGGAGGCAGCAGUGGGGAAUAUUGCGCAAUGGGGGAAACCCUGACGCAGCGACGCCGCGUGGGUGAAGAAGGCCUUAGGGUUGUAAAGCCCUUUCAGUGGGAAAGAUUGUGACGGUACCCACAGAAGAAGCUCCGGCUAACUCCGU
This 434-nucleotide ribosomal RNA is filed under the name uncultured bacterium. Its description in RNAcentral is "bacterial SSU rRNA". It matches the Rfam family "Bacterial small subunit ribosomal RNA", at positions 29 to 506 of the family's 1533-position model. The record is from RNAcentral.